Small nuclear RNA from Bos grunniens (domestic yak), 140 nucleotides. Its record names the gene U1. It matches the Rfam family "U1 spliceosomal RNA". From Rfam's summary of the family: U1 is a small nuclear RNA (snRNA) component of the spliceosome (involved in pre-mRNA splicing). The record is from Ensembl. Lineage: Eukaryota; Metazoa; Chordata; Mammalia; Artiodactyla; Bovidae.
AUACUUACCUGGCAGGGGAGAUACCAUGAUCACGAAGGUGGUUUUCCCAGGGCGAGGCUUAUCCAUUGCACUCCGGAUGUGCUGACCCCUGCGAUUUCCCCAAAUGUGGGAAACUCGACUGCAUAAUUUGUGGUAGUGGG